This 1408-nucleotide ribosomal RNA is filed under the name Limosilactobacillus fermentum. RNAcentral describes it as "Lactobacillus fermentum 16S ribosomal RNA". It matches the Rfam family "Bacterial small subunit ribosomal RNA". The record is from RNAcentral. Lineage: Bacteria; Bacillati; Bacillota; Bacilli; Lactobacillales; Lactobacillaceae.
UUUGGUCGCCAACGAGUGGCGGACGGGUGAGUAACACGUAGGUAACCUGCCCAGAAGCGGGGGACAACAUUUGGAAACAGAUGCUAAUACCGCAUAACAGCGUUGUUCGCAUGAACAACGCUUAAAAGAUGGCUUCUCGCUAUCACUUCUGGAUGGACCUGCGGUGCAUUAGCUUGUUGGUGGGGUAACGGCCUACCAAGGCGAUGAUGCAUAGCCGAGUUGAGAGACUGAUCGGCCACAAUGGGACUGAGACACGGCCCAUACUCCUACGGGAGGCAGCAGUAGGGAAUCUUCCACAAUGGGCGCAAGCCUGAUGGAGCAACACCGCGUGAGUGAAGAAGGGUUUCGGCUCGUAAAGCUCUGUUGUUAAAGAAGAACACGUAUGAGAGUAACUGUUCAUACGUUGACGGUAUUUAACCAGAAAGUCACGGCUAACUACGUGCCAGCAGCCGCGGUAAUACGUAGGUGGCAAGCGUUAUCCGGAUUUAUUGGGCGUAAAGAGAGUGCAGGCGGUUUUCUAAGUCUGAUGUGAAAGCCUUCGGCUUAACCGGAGAAGUGCAUCGGAAACUGGAUAACUUGAGUGCAGAAGAGGGUAGUGGAACUCCAUGUGUAGCGGUGGAAUGCGUAGAUAUAUGGAAGAACACCAGUGGCGAAGGCGGCUACCUGGUCUGCAACUGACGCUGAGACUCGAAAGCAUGGGUAGCGAACAGGAUUAGAUACCCUGGUAGUCCAUGCCGUAAACGAUGAGUGCUAGGUGUUGGAGGGUUUCCGCCCUUCAGUGCCGGAGCUAACGCAUUAAGCACUCCGCCUGGGGAGUACGACCGCAAGGUUGAAACUCAAAGGAAUUGACGGGGGCCCGCACAAGCGGUGGAGCAUGUGGUUUAAUUCGAAGCUACGCGAAGAACCUUACCAGGUCUUGACAUCUUGCGCCAACCCUAGAGAUAGGGCGUUUCCUUCGGGAACGCAAUGACAGGUGGUGCAUGGUCGUCGUCAGCUCGUGUCGUGAGAUGUUGGGUUAAGUCCCGCAACGAGCGCAACCCUUGUUACUAGUUGCCAGCAUUAAGUUGGGCACUCUAGUGAGACUGCCGGUGACAAACCGGAGGAAGGUGGGGACGACGUCAGAUCAUCAUGCCCCUUAUGACCUGGGCUACACACGUGCUACAAUGGACGGUACAACGAGUCGCGAACUCGCGAGGGCAAGCAAAUCUCUUAAAACCGUUCUCAGUUCGGACUGCAGGCUGCAACUCGCCUGCACGAAGUCGGAAUCGCUAGUAAUCGCGGAUCAGCAUGCCGCGGUGAAUACGUUCCCGGGCCUUGUACACACCGCCCGUCACACCAUGAGAGUUUGUAACACCCAAAGUCGGUGGGGUAACCUUUUAGGAGCCAGCCGCCUAAGGUGGGACAGAUG